This is a non-coding RNA of Salvelinus sp. IW2-2015, 445 nucleotides long. Lineage: Eukaryota; Metazoa; Chordata; Actinopteri; Salmoniformes; Salmonidae. The record is from RefSeq and is a predicted model, not a curated record.
UGGUAGCCAGCUGAUUGGUGUUUACUCGGAAAACCUUGUCCCCUCUUGGCUAGUCAGUUUGAUCAUGCAGAAAACUUUGAAUUAGAAAAUAAAACACACGACUUGCUAGCCACGGCAAAUGAGCCUACUUCGGUAUAAUUACGCAAUCUACCACUUCUGUCUACUGUAAACAGGUCCUGACCACCCAGCCUUCUCAGAAGCGAUCCCUGCCCCUGUAGCAGCCUUCCCCCACCAACACAGAAACACACAUACACACACACAUACACACACACACGUACACACACACGUACACACACGUGGGCCUCUGGACCAGGAUGACAAUGGAAGAGAUGAAGAAAUGAAGCAGAGAUGACCUCGAUGGUUUCCAUGACACUCUACACUGUGAUGUACCCCGUCUUCACGAGGUAAAGAGGAUUCGUUGGAGAGAGUGAACCUGUUCGGCAGC